UGCAGGGCGUCACUGUUUCCAUACUCUUAAUUCCUUCCCAAGACACCUCCAGCUCACGGCGGGUACCUUUGCCAAGUCAUCUCAGCCUCAGUCACCAUCACGCUGGGGUCUUUUUCAGUAUAAAAUGUCUCAUCCACCUAAAAUAAAGCUCUUGAUAAGAUUAGUCUUAUAAACUGUGUGGAUGCUGAGGCGGUACGCUCCAGAUUGGCCCACAGUAACAGAGUGUCAGGAUCUCAGGAAACGGCUUCUGCACGCCCCCCGUGCCUUUGUCUUGGUUGCAGAGCAGAGGCAAGCACGAGGCCCACGGUUUGACGGACAUGACCCCCCCCCCCAUCCUUGAGAAACCACUGUGAAAACAGAGGUGACAUCAUUUUGUGAAGGACACAGCGUUCUUCCACUCACACAGGCCAUGAAAAAUAGGUGGCAAAAUCAAACACGUGAGGCACAAUUUAUGUCAUAAAUGUACGGCAAAUUUGAACCACUGGCAGUUAGUCAGGUUGUUGGCUUCUGGUUUGCGGGGACCGGUUGUCCCUGCAGUGCUGUGGCUUAGGCCAUAGGGUAGUUCAUGUCGCGUGACUGAUCUGACACUGAGCCCCGGUAAAGGCAUUCCAGCCUGCAAUACCCUCUUCCUUUACUCCGACGCUGUUCGGAUUUCUUCGCGUCUCCCUGCUGAGGCAACCAGGAAUUACAGGUUCAUGCGAGUUCAUCUGUACAAAGCCACAGAACACCUCCUUUCUCAUGCAGGAACCUAGCAGAUACAGUCCGCUAUUGGCAGGGAUCGCUAAUGUGAUGCAGGAAGACUCAUCCUCGAACAGUUUUCCGCUCCUCGUCCUGGAAGAAAAGUUUAUGCUUGCAGUGUUGUCCAAGGACAAAACCAAUACAGAAGUUCAGGAACAGAAUUUUUUGUACCCAAAUGGAAGCUGCAUCUUCUUAGUGCGAUCUCUCAGCCAUGGCAUCAGUUGAGGCAGGUACCGAGAGGUAACCCUCAUUUCAGACCGCAGGGUUGAAACCGGGAAGACCAGUCGAGAGAACGAGAACUAGACCCUGAUGGAAGCGGGACAAAACCCGCCUUCGGGCGACCGUUACCGCCGCGACGCGGCCCGCGGGCGCCAUCUUGUGGGCAGGCGGCCAUUAGCCGCGGGCGCGCCGGUCACGUCCCCCUUCUCCUGAGGGGGCUCCCGGGCGGCCGGGCCGAUCGGUACGGCCGGCGCUGCGGAGCGCGCGGGCCCCGCCGGUCGGAGCGGCGGCGGCUGCCGGCCCCAGGGUGCCCUGAGGGGGCUCAUGUCGGGGGCGCUGGCGGCUGUUUCCAGCACAGCGCCCAACAGUGACCUGAGUGCACGAGUUGUGGGGGCGUGACGGCUCCGAGGCUUUCAGAAUUCCCUUGUUUCCCCUUUCUCUCCGAGCACUUGAUUUACGGAUGAAAGACUUCGCAACUCAGGGUUGUAAAGCAGAUUGUGGAGUCUGUUUUCCGCAAUUCAGUAGGGACGCAGCGAUGCGUUUGAAGUCCUCUACAUCUGCGCUGAGAUAUGGACCUAACUUGCAAAGCAAAUGUGGAAAAUGUCUGCAAGCAUGGGACUGAAAGAGAUGACACUUGGGGAGGGAAGUCUGUGAGACGGUCAGUUUGCUGCUGCUGCCACUGAUGGGGAGCCUCUUGAGGGUCGUGGUACCAUCUCAGAGCAACGACCCAAGGAGGCAGCUGACUUCUGUCAAAGUCCCUGUUCUCUGUUGACCAAAGGCAUUGCACCGGCUGGUGAGAUUUCUUCUUCCCCCUUCCUCUUCCCUUUCCCUGCUUCCCAGGGGAAUCGGAUGAUUAAGUGAUGGAGACUUAAGUAAUAGCAACGAUCAUCAGCAAGACUCAGAAAGAGAACUGCAGUGCAAAACAAACAAACUUUCAGCAGGAACCCAUUUUUAAUAUACUCUGCAGCACGUUUAAUAAUGUAAUUCUCCAGUGCAUCUGCAUGUUUCACUAUACUUGUGAAGGAGAAGAAACACUGGCUCAUGCAAAAUUGCUCUGAAGCAUUCAUUGAUACACCGAAAAUUCAGCAGGCCUACACCAAGUUAUGAUGUUGGGCUUUUUAUGGGUAAUUUGAUGCAAAGGAGAAACUUUUUUCUUUCAUGCGUGCAGAUUUUGUCGAAGGUGGUGACUCUUGGUUUUGUGAAGAUAAACUUCUUGCCUUUUCGAGCAUAGACGCGCCUCUGACCUUAUCUCCAGAAUAGCAAUAGAAUUUAUUAACACGAUGUGGGGCCCCAUGUGAACUGGAAUACCUUUGCUUCACUUGCUUCGGUUUUGUGUCUUUGCUCAUUUCUAAAGGGGGGAAAAUAACAAUUUUCUGAUAGUUUUGUCUGUUGCUUCCGGUCUUGUGAAACUAAUGGUAAAAUAUUCGAAGUGUUAAUCUUUAGGUGCAUUUUUUUUUUCUACAGUCUGCCAAAUUCUGUUAGCUAAAACACGGCCAAAAAGUCACACUAAGCAUGAGAAAAGACAAUGGAGUAACCUUUGCCAGCUGCUGUAUAGAACACCAACUUUUGUACAGCUUGGAGAAAAAAUGGAGUAUCAACUCCCUGGGAGAAGAAAAAAAGGAGCAUUUGAUGCUUUGAUGGUGAGAGAGGAGCUAUGAACAAUCUCUCAUUUCAGUUAAAAAUUGUUUAUACUCCUGAUUUACUCGCUGGAGAUACCACAGUAUCACUAACAACUCUUUGGUACCGUUUGUGACAACUGAUAAUUGAACUGCUUUAAAAUGGGAGUGACAGUUCAUCUCAGCCGUGACACAGAGCAGGCUGUGGUGUUCUCUGCAGCAAGGAGCCGCUGCAUGGGCAAGGGAGAACUGUUGAAGCUGCUUCUCCUCAACUUCCACUGGCAGACAGGGAUGUCGCCAGAAAUCAGCAAAACCAGGGCCGGGCCAGCAGCUGGGGCAAGUGCAGGCUCCAAGGGCACUUGGAGGCCCUUGUUAGUAACCUGAGAGUAAAAGAAUAAAGAAACCUCUGACAACUGCAGGAAAAGUCUUAGUCUCUCAUGACUGCAAGCAGUGCAGCUGGCGUCGCUAUUGCUGCCACCCGUCACGGUUUCUCCUCCUUCUCCUGGUGCUCUACUCACCUUUCCCCUCGUGUUUCCAUUGCUUGUGUCCCUCUCCCGUCUACAGUUAUCCCACCAUCUUUCUUUCCUGCUUUCUUAAAUGGUACUGUUUUCUUCUAUUAUUCUCAUAGUGUUCUGUCUCUUGUUGUUUUAGAGGGAUUCUGUUAUAUUUCCAGAGAGCUUCCUUCCUCUCCAGGUACUUAAUGCAGAUGCCACUUUUGGCUUGGACACAUCCUCUAGCUUUUCAUAUUGUCUCAGCAGAGCAGCCAUGGGACGAGCUGAAUGAUGCUGGUUUGAUGCUUGUGUCAGUCUCCGCAAGCUCUGCUUAAAACCACAUGAACUCCUUGCAAGCACAGAAAACCCGUGUGUAGGCCAUAAGUAGGUGUAACACAGGCGUUAUCUCCCUUUGUUUAAAAACAAGGUAUUGAUGACUUGCCUUAAAGAGUGACCUGUGUGAACCGACUCUACUUAGGUGAAGUUCACUUUGCACUAUUAAUGUUCCCAGUAUUUGUAAGGCUUUUUAAAUUGUAACUUUAUUAUAUAAAUGGUCUCACAGAAA
Tyto alba (common barn owl) is the source of this 3629-nucleotide long non-coding RNA. RefSeq lists it as uncharacterized. The transcript has 4 exons. The record is from RefSeq and is a predicted model, not a curated record. NCBI's taxonomy places the organism in Eukaryota, Metazoa, Chordata, Aves, Strigiformes, Tytonidae.